This 603-nucleotide ribosomal RNA is filed under the name uncultured fungus. RNAcentral describes it as "eukaryotic LSU rRNA". It matches the Rfam family "Eukaryotic large subunit ribosomal RNA", at positions 23 to 641 of the family's 3401-position model. Lineage: Eukaryota; Fungi. The record is from RNAcentral.
ACCCGCUGAACUUAAGCAUAUCAAUAAGCGGAGGAAAAGAAACCAACAAGGAUUGCCCUAGUAACGGCGAGUGAAGCGGCAACAGCUCAAAUUUGAAAUCUGGCGUCUUUGGCGUCCGAGUUGUAAUUUGCAGAGGGCGCUUUGGCAUUGGCAGCGGUCCAAGUUCCUUGGAACAGGACGUCACAGAGGGUGAGAAUCCCGUACGUGGUCGCUAGCCUUUACCGUGUAAAGCCCCUUCGACGAGUCGAGUUGUUUGGGAAUGCAGCUCUAAAUGGGAGGUAAAUUUCUUCUAAAGCUAAAUACUGGCCAGAGACCGAUAGCGCACAAGUAGAGUGAUCGAAAGAUGAAAAGCACUUUGGAAAGAGAGUUAAAAAGCACGUGAAAUUGUUGAAAGGGAAGCGCUUGCAGCCAGACUUGCCUGUAGUUGCUCAUCCGGGUUUUUACCCGGUGCACUCUUCUAUAGGCAGGCCAGCAUCAGUUUGGGCGGUUGGAUAAAGGUCUCUGUCAUGUACCUCUCUUCGGGGAGAACUUAUAGGGGAGACGACAUGCAACCAGCCCGGACUGAGGUCCGCGCAUCUGCUAGGAUGCUGGCGUAAUGGCUGU